Molecule: ribosomal RNA, 403 nt
Filed under: uncultured bacterium
Lineage: Bacteria
Description: partial 16S ribosomal RNA
Rfam family: Bacterial small subunit ribosomal RNA
Source: RNAcentral
GACGAACGCUGGCGGCGUGCCUAAUACAUGCAAGUCGAACGCAGUGGGGCAGGGGGAGUAACACGUGGGUAACCUACCAUCAGAGGGGAGAACACUUGGAAACAGGUGCUAAACCGAUAGUGAUGGAUGGCACAGCGGUGAAUGAGCUAGUUGGUGAGGUAACGGCGCACCAAGGCACGGAUGCAGAGCCGACCUGCGAGGGUGAUGUGCCACACUGGGACUCAAACACGGCCCAGACUCCUACGGGAGGCAGCAGUAGGGAAGCUUCGGCAAUGGACGAAAGUCUGACCGAGCAACGCCGCGUGAGUGAAGAAGGUUUUCGGAUCGUAAAACUCUGUUGUUAGAGAGGCGGUAUCUAACCAGAAAGCCACGGCUAACUACGUGCCAGCAGCCGCGGUAAUUC